This 582-nucleotide ribosomal RNA is filed under the name Pseudovibrio sp. AU329_Ted2_MB. RNAcentral's name for it is "bacterial SSU rRNA". It matches the Rfam family "Bacterial small subunit ribosomal RNA", at positions 61 to 689 of the family's 1533-position model. The record is from RNAcentral. Lineage: Bacteria; Pseudomonadati; Pseudomonadota; Alphaproteobacteria; Hyphomicrobiales; Stappiaceae.
GUCGAACGGAUCCUUCGGGAUUAGUGGCAGACGGGUGAGUAACGCGUGGGAAGCUACCUUGUGGUAGGGGACAACAGUUGGAAACGACUGCUAAUACCCUAUGAGCCCUAUGGGGGAAAGAUUUAUCGCCAUGAGAUGUGCCCGCGUUAGAUUAGCUAGUUGGUAAGGUAAUGGCUUACCAAGGCGACGAUCUAUAGCUGGUCUGAGAGGAUGAUCAGCCACACUGGGACUGAGACACGGCCCAGACUCCUACGGGAGGCAGCAGUGGGGAAUAUUGGACAAUGGGGGCAACCCUGAUCCAGCCAUGCCGCGUGUGUGAUGACGGCCUUAGGGUUGUAAAGCACUUUCAGCAGUGAAGAUAAUGACAUUAACUGCAGAAGAAGCCCCGGCUAACUUCGUGCCAGCAGCCGCGGUAAUACGAAGGGGGCUAGCGUUGUUCGGAAUCACUGGGCGUAAAGAGUACGUAGGCGGAUUGAUAAGUUAGGGGUGAAAUCCCAAGGCUCAACCUUGGAACUGCCUUUGAUACUGUCAGUCUUGAGAUCGAGAGAGGUGAGUGGAACUCCGAGUGUAGAGGUGAAAUUC